Molecule: long non-coding RNA, 407 nt
Organism: Telopea speciosissima
Lineage: Eukaryota; Viridiplantae; Streptophyta; Magnoliopsida; Proteales; Proteaceae
Exons: 3
Source: RefSeq, a predicted model, not a curated record
CAACAGUUGUCUCUUCAUCUCUAUAAAAACAGAUCUAUCCAGCCUUUCCACUUCAUAAACCAAGUUAAUCGUACUGAUUAGUAUCAUUCCAUUCAGAGAAAAUAAAGAUUUGAAGAAACUAUCAGAGAUGGAGGGAAGAUCUGGUGAAGGAGCCGUUCAGUAUCAAGCCACGGCACCCAGCUGGAUCGAUUUGCAGAAGAACAACAAGAAAGGGUCAUCAGUACUCCCACCAAGGAGGAGGUCUGUGAAGAAGCAGAUGUAUGAUUAUAUAGCUCAACUGAUGGAGAGCAAAGAGAGUAGACAUCGAUGAUCAUUGUGUACAGACAAGUGUGAGAGAUUUUAUGAGUUUCAGUUUUUAGUGUUGGAUUAGAAGACUCUGAUUUCGAUUUCCCAUUCUUUGUACAUAA